Molecule: long non-coding RNA, 1337 nt
Organism: Gadus macrocephalus (Pacific cod)
Lineage: Eukaryota; Metazoa; Chordata; Actinopteri; Gadiformes; Gadidae
Exons: 3
Source: RefSeq, a predicted model, not a curated record
UAUUGUUUAUUUGACAACAUUGGCUGUGAAGUAUUCUCAUUUAAAUCACUGAUUUAGCUGUGGUAUCGUUGUAUCCGAAUUCGAAUCCGAUAUAAAUACUCGUGACAAGCAUGGUUCGGUAGCAGCGAAUGCUAUGCUAUCGUCCAUAAACGUUGCAUACUAUUCAGAAAUCAGCAACGUUUAAGACGGUUUGUAGGUCGAGGGUAAAGUUUGCAGCGAAGGCUUUGCCGAUUAUUUUACUGUGAGGUUAACAUUACCAAAGUACAUUGUUAAGUUGGAUGUUAAGGUGUCAGCUGGCAUGGUAAGAGGCAUGAAAUCGCGGCCACUCUGCUUCGUUGUGGUGACACACGCAUCGGAUUAAACUGUGCAUGUAAACGUACUAGUACGUCUAAUCUAACUAGUAUGUUUACAUGCAUGGCAUAUCAGAGAAUUCUGUCAGUUCGGUCGCGGCGCAACGAAUGAAUAAAGAUCGUUAGCACUCUGAAAAACAGAUGACAGAUGUGCCCUUAGUUACUACUUUAUUACCUCGUUGAUGACCAACGUUUAGGAAAACAUGUACUUUUAAUUCACCCUUGGGUGAAACCGAAGCGUAGUGUGUACUGAAUGCGUGUUGAUGAUGAUGCAUAUGAAUUGCAACUUACACGUCUUCCAAACCUUUUCAGUACCCUGGCACAUGCUUUGUCCAAUGGACCAUGGAAGGGACUUUACUUGGCUGACGAGGACGCACCUCACCAGUAUCAGAGCAACAGCUGUGGGGUGUUUAUGCUGAUGGUGAGAUGCAUUAUUUUCAGAAAUGAUGACUGAUGACUAGUUUGUAAAACAACUAACUCAUUUGUAUGUUAAUUUCAGUACGCAAUGUAUUCUACCCUCAAAAGCAAUAUGAUUUCAGUGAGGGGGACAUGCUCUCUAUCAGGAGGUGGUGGUUGGACAGCUGUUGGAGACCUUUAUGCUUGAAAGGUUUAUAUACUGUGUCCAUGUUGCUAUUUACUUAUUUUUGGUGCUCACGAAGAUCGUAGCCAAUACACUUGUCUCUCUGUCUCUAGCCCUGCAGAACUAGCUGGCUCCUUCUCACCCUCUCCAUCUCCCCAUCUCAGUCACACCUUCCAAUCACUAAGCAGUGAAAGGUAUUACAUACUAUGUCCAUACUUUUCUAUUUACGUAUAUUCUCUCUUGCUCUUUCUCAGACUUUUGAUCGAUCAGUGACUGCCUUUUUGUUUAAUGGUGUGGGUAGUGUUGGUCUGGGCUUGUGUGAUUGAAUUGAAGGUUGAUUAUAAUCCCUGUUUCUCUCCCUCUCUCUCGCUCUCCUUCACUCUUUUUCGGCUCUCUCGCUCUCUCUA